RNAcentral lists this ribosomal RNA (1239 nucleotides) under metagenome. RNAcentral describes it as "bacterial SSU rRNA". It matches the Rfam family "Bacterial small subunit ribosomal RNA", at positions 210 to 1439 of the family's 1533-position model. The record is from RNAcentral.
AGCUUAUGUUUGGAGAUGAGCCCGCGUACCAUUAGCUUGUUGGUAGGGUAACGGCCUACCAAGGCCACGAUGGUUAGCUGGUCUGAGAGGAUGAUCAGCCACACUGGGACUGACACACGGUCCAGACUCCUACGGGAGGCAGCAGUGAGGAAUUUUGCGCAAUGGGGGAAACCCUGACGCAGCAACGCCGCGUGAGUGAUGAAGGCCUUAGGGUCGUAAAGCUCUGUCAAGUGGGAAGAAACUGUAUAAUACCAAUAAUGUUAUACACUGACGGUACCACUAAAGGAAGCACCGGCUAACUCCGUGCCAGCAGCCGCGGUAAUACGGGGGGUGCAAGCGUUAUUCGGAAUCAUUGGGCGUAAAGAGCGCGUAGGCGGUCUCUUAAGUCAGGUGUGAAAGCCCGGGGCUUAACCCCGGAAGUGCAUUUGAAACUAAGGGACUUGAGUAUGGGAGAGGGAAGUGGAAUUCCUGGUGUAGAGGUGAAAUUCGUAGAUAUCAGGAGGAACACCGGUGGCGAAGGCGACUUCCUGGACCAAUACUGACGCUGAGGCGCGAAGGCGUGGGUAGCAAACAGGAUUAGAUACCCUGGUAGUCCACGCAGUAAACGGUGAACACUAGGUGUAGCGGGUAUUGACCCCUGCUGUGCCGCAGUUAACGCAUUAAGUGUUCCGCCUGGGGAGUACGACCGCAAGGUUAAAACUCAAAGGAAUUGACGGGGGCCCGCACAAGCGGUGGAGCAUGUGGUUUAAUUCGACGCAACGCGAAGAACCUUACCUGGAUUUGACAUCCCGGGAAUCUUAUGGAAACAUAAGAGUGCCCUUCGGGGAACCUGGUGACAGGUGCUGCAUGGCUGUCGUCAGCUCGUGUCGUGAGAUGUUGGGUUAAGUCCCGCAACGAGCGCAACCCUUAUCUUUAGUUACCAUCAUUCAGUUGGGGACUCUAAAGAUACUGCCCCGGUUAACGGGGAGGAAGGUGGGGAUGACGUCAAGUCCUCAUGGCCUUUAUGUCCAGGGCUACACACGUGCUACAAUGGGCUGUACAAAGGGUAGCGAACCCGCAAGGGCCAGCCAAUCCCAUAAAGCAGUUCGUAGUUCGGAUUGGAGUCUGCAACUCGACUCCAUGAAGCUGGAAUCGCUAGUAAUCGUGGAUCAGCAUGCCACGGUGAAUACGUUCCCGGGCCUUGUACACACCGCCCGUCACACCAUGAGAGUUGGUUGUACCAGAAGUUGUUGGGCAAAC